GCCUUUGAUACUGGUUAUCUUGAGUUCUAUUGAAGUACGCGGAAUAUGUAGUGUAGCGGUGAAAUGCAUAGAUAUUACAUAGAACACCAAUUGCGAAGGCAGCUUACUAAGUACUAACUGACGCUGAUGGACGAAAGCGUGGGUAGCGAACAGGAUUAGAUACCCUGGUAGUCCACGCCGUAAACGAUGGAUACUAGCUGUUCGGGGCCUUGAGCUCUGAGCGGCUAAGCGAAAGUGAUAAGUAUCCCACCUGGGGAGUACGUUCGCAAGAAUGAAACUCAAAGGAAUUGACGGGGGCCCGCACAAGCGGUGGAGCAUGUGGUUUAAUUCGAUGAUACGCGAGGAACCUUACCAGGGCUUAAAUGUAGUCUGACAG
RNAcentral lists this ribosomal RNA (376 nucleotides) under uncultured bacterium. RNAcentral's name for it is "bacterial SSU rRNA". It matches the Rfam family "Bacterial small subunit ribosomal RNA", at positions 623 to 998 of the family's 1533-position model. The record is from RNAcentral.